RNAcentral lists this unclassified non-coding RNA (351 nucleotides) under soil metagenome. RNAcentral describes it as "partial contains 5.8S ribosomal RNA, internal transcribed spacer 2, and large subunit ribosomal RNA". The stretch from base 1 to 120 matches the Rfam family "5.8S ribosomal RNA", at positions 35 to 154 of the family's 154-position model. The record is from RNAcentral.
GAUGAAGAACGCAGCGAAACGCGAUAUGUAAUGUGAAUUGCAGAAUUCAGUGAAUCAUCGAAUCUUUGAACGCACAUGGCGCCUUCCAGUAUCCUGGGAGGCAUGCCUGUCCGAGCGUCGUUUCAACCCUCGAGCCCCCGUGACCCGGCGUUGGGGAUCUGCCACGGCAGGCCCCUAAAACCAGUGGCGGACCCGAAGGCCCUCUCCUUUGCGCAGUAGCAUCAGCCUCGCAUUGGGAUCCCUCGGCGUCCUGCCUCUAAACCCCCCACAAGUCCGCUCCGGCGGCACCAAGGUUGACCUCGGAUCAGGUAGGAAUACCCGCUGAACUUAAGCAUAUCAAUAAGCGGAGGA